This is a non-coding RNA of Ornithorhynchus anatinus (platypus), 354 nucleotides long. Lineage: Eukaryota; Metazoa; Chordata; Mammalia; Monotremata; Ornithorhynchidae. The record is from the annotation of a RefSeq genome assembly.
AUGCAGCGAUUCCUGCAGCUACGACUGCUGCUGCCACUGCUGCUGGGGCCCAUGCCCGAGCAGAGGUAUCUGGAAGAGCGGAUCUUCUCCACAGUGAAGAUCCAGUGUUACCAGAACGACAGUGACCCCAGUUACCUGUACUGGUACCAGCAGCUGGCGGGGCAGGGUCUGGGGCUCAUGGCCUCAGCCAACUUGGACUCGAAAGCUUCCUACCAGAAGGGGUGCGAAGAGACCAAGUUACCCAUCCAACGUCCAGAACUGAGGUCUUCCUCUCUGGAGGUGACAAAACUGGAGCCGAGGGACAGCGGCCUCUACUUCUGCACUACCAGUGACACAGUGCCAGAUGAGGGCUAG